RNAcentral lists this ribosomal RNA (253 nucleotides) under uncultured bacterium. Its description in RNAcentral is "partial 16S ribosomal RNA". It matches the Rfam family "Bacterial small subunit ribosomal RNA", at positions 524 to 776 of the family's 1533-position model. The record is from RNAcentral.
UACGGAGGUGGCAAGCGUUGCUCGGAAUCACUGGGCGUAAAGGGCGCGUAGGCGGGGAGGUAAGUCGGGUGUGAAAUCCCUCGGCCCAACCGAGGAACUGCGCCCGAGACUGCUUCUCUUGAGUCCCGGAGAGGAAGAUGGAAUUCCUGGUGUAGCGGCGAAAUGCGCAGAUAUCAGGAGGAACACCGGUGGCGAAGGCGGUUCUCUGGGCAUGUCCUGACGCUGAGGAGCGAAAGUGUGGGGAGCGAACAGG